Molecule: long non-coding RNA, 297 nt
Filed under: Panax ginseng (ginseng)
Lineage: Eukaryota; Viridiplantae; Streptophyta; Magnoliopsida; Apiales; Araliaceae
Description: long non-coding RNA (PGIN_LNC006941)
Source: RNAcentral
UAAACAAUAUUUCUUAUAAUAUUGAUUUUCCUGAAUCGUCUAGACAAUCUGUGUCUGACCCUUUGGAAUCUGUUUAUCAAGAAUCUAAAAAUCCCAGCAAUGAGUCUAUCAAAAAUGAAGACAUAGUUAGAGGAAUUCAUAUUUCUGAAAAUCAAAUACCUCAUGGUAUUUAUGAGGCUACUCCUCAAAACAGAAGACCUUACAGUCCAACUGCUAGUGACAUGAAUUUUGAGUGUUAAAUGGAUUUUUCUCCCAAUAGUAAAAUUCGCCAAUGUUUAAAUCAGGAGUUCAUGCAGG